CCUGCAUCCUCAGCAUCUCAAGGUUUGCAGAGGUGGGCUGCAGUGACCUUCGCUCAGUCCCUACAUUAGAAGAUGGCGUCCAAAAGACUCCUGGAGGUAAGUGGAGGUUGCCAUGACCCAUGGACUUAACUCUAGAACCUAGAUUAAUGGUAUCACCAAAGAGCUAUCCAAAGUCACAGAAAGGGUUGCGCUUUGCCCAAGUUUUUGGAAGUGGAGAAGGAAUGCCAAAAAGGAAAAUUUGGUGUUCUAUAUUGCAGUUGAUUGAAUAUUAUUUUGAACAGAGGAUUCCUUUUGAUUUAUGUACACGUGAAUCUGGGAGAGGCUUCAUUUAUAUUUCUACAUGCUGGGUGUUAUCUUUCUACUAUAGUUUGGAAGAGAAAAGGGAAAACAGAAGAAGAAAAGAGAGCGUGAGCGGCUGGCCCAGUGGAGGAGAAGGGGGUGCCGGAUGGAGCUGGUUUUUCUGCAGAGCUGAUGCAGGGAGCUCUGCUGCCCACCUGUCCACAGAGUCCUUCAGAGGGAAGGGCUGCUCCCAGGUGCAGGUGAGGGAGAGACAGGCGGCCUGGCGGAGCUCUGCUCCUGGAGGAAGGAUGGAUGAG
Molecule: non-coding RNA, 596 nt
Organism: Podarcis lilfordi (Lilford's wall lizard)
Lineage: Eukaryota; Metazoa; Chordata; Lepidosauria; Squamata; Lacertidae
Source: the annotation of a GenBank genome assembly